GUGGGGAAUAUUGGACAAUGGGGGGAACCCUGAUCCAGCCAUGCCGCGUGUGUGAAGAAGGCCUUUUGGUUGUAAAGCACUUUAAGCGAGGAGGAGGCUACCGAGAUUAAUACUCUUGGAUAGUGGACGUUACUCGCAGAAUAAGCACCGGCUAACUCUGUGCCAGCAGACGAGGUAAUACAGAGGGUGCAAGCGUUAAUCGGAUUUACUGGGCGUAAAGCGCGCGUAGGUGGCCAAUUAAGUCAAAUGUGAAAUCCCCGAGCUUAACUUGGGAAUUGCAUGCGAUACUGGUUGGCUAGAGUAUGGGAGAUGAUGGUAGAAUUCCAGGUGUAGCGGUGAAAUGCGUAGAGAUCUGGAGGAAUACCGAUGGCGAAGGCAGCCAUCUGGACUAAUACUGACACUGAGGUGCGAAAGCAUGGGGAGCAAACAGGAUUAGAACCCCGAGUAGUCC
RNAcentral lists this ribosomal RNA (451 nucleotides) under uncultured bacterium. Its description in RNAcentral is "partial 16S ribosomal RNA". It matches the Rfam family "Bacterial small subunit ribosomal RNA", at positions 354 to 796 of the family's 1533-position model. The record is from RNAcentral.